GCGGGCGGCCAUGUCGCGCCGCGCGCCGCGCCCGCAGGUGCCGUUCUCGGGCGCGGCAGUUGCGGGCGGCCAUGUUACGCUCUGCGGGCGCCGGGCGGUGCCGCUGCGGGGGCCGGAGUCCCCUCACCCCGGGGCCGGGCCUGGCGUGUCGGUUCCGUACCGGACGUGUGCUGCUGACACGCGGGUCCCGUGGGUCGCCGGAGGCAGCGGUGUUCGCCUGCUUGCCCGGGCUGUCAGAGCAAGGUUCAUGGGUGCAGACUGUGUCCUCCACACCCUGUCCGAUCCCAUCUUCCACUCUUAAAUACGUGGUGAGGAGAGACCUCCUGCAGAGUCUGGCCUAGGGUUUUAUCAAGCACUCUGUGGCAACAGAUCUCAAAGAGCAUGAGAACCGAGGCCUGCAGCAUUGCCCCUCUGGGGUGGAGAAACUGAAGGGCAGAAGGCAGUGUUUUACCUGUGAUGACACAACAGCUCUCAGUAAUAUCUUUACUCCUUAGCCAGCUCCAUGACUCUGUUGAAGGAGACAAACAAGAAAGUGGUGUCUGAAAUCAGUCUAGGUGCCGAAAAGCAUAGCGACUGGUAUUCCACCUCCAGAUGUGAGAACAGAUCGUUUCUAAUCUGCUGCCACCAGCAUCUCCCAGCAGGAAUGCCAGCAUGUGCUCCAAGGGAGCUAUAAAGGGGAGAGAAAUUUCUUCUGAGAACAGAGUUCUCAUUUGUCUAAGCUGCAAAGACCCAAUAGAAAAUCCAACACAGAAUUAAGAGCCUGACUUUUAUCAGAGGAUGACCGAAAAAUGGCUCUACCUGCUCAAGUCAGGGAGUCAUCCAGCCAAUAUCCUCUCUUUGACACUAGAAAGCAGCACACAGUAGCAGAUAUUUAGGGACAAGGUAGAGGAAACAUGGCAAAAAUGUAGGGAUUGCUUCUCCUGUGUCCUGUUACAGGUCUAGCAUCAAUGUCAGAGAGACUUGCUCAGCCAGAGGUGGUAUGUUUGUGUUUAGUUGUCCUUGAGUAACUUUUCUUUCAAGCUUUUGUCCAGUUAUUUUUUGAACCCAAUGUAAUAUUUUGGAACCUUUUCUGAGAGGGGCAGUGGAGUCUCUACAAUGUUGGAUGCUUUUUGUGAGAGAUUUGCUUCAGUCCUGUCAGGUUUAUGGGAAAAACUACCCAAUGUGUAUUCCCAGGGUAUUGGACUCCAUAAUCUCAGUAUUCUUUCCUAACACUGAAAUCUGUUAACUGCUGGCUUGAGUUGACUCCUGAUCUACCUUGCAGGUAAAAAGCAAGGCCUGGAAUAAUUUGGUCCUAACCAGUACGUUCUGCCCCUUUUAUUUAUCUGCAUUAAUCCAUGUUUUCUUCCACAACAGAGGAUUAUAGACCCCACUACAGGGAAGCUGUAGCAGACAAUCAUGCAGGUGUGCAAGUAUGAGGCUCACUCCUCUGUAAAAGGAAGUCUCUAAAUCUCCAUGCAUCCUAAGUACUGUCUUUGAGUUGGCCAACAUGGGCGGCAGCUAUGAUGGGAGAUCCAGGGAUGGACUGAGGUUACACAGUGAGGCUGCAGCCUGCGUUCCAAUGCUGCUGGAGUUCCAGGGUCCUUGCUGCCCAGAUCCGCAGAAGACCACCACUCUUUUCAUCUGGGAGCAACAUGUUGGUUAAUGAAUUUCCUGAGAAGGGCAAAGGAGUCAGAGGUUGUGAAUCUGCAUCGUUUCCCAAGAACUGUUCUGUGCAUGUAGUAUUGAAGGUCAUGAGUGCCUGGGCGGUGAUCCCCAAGUUGAGUGCUGAACUGACGCUACAGCUGUCUGUGAAAUGAAAGCUAAGGCUGACUUCUGAGAGAAUUGUGCUGUGUGCCUCCAGGAAGCAGCUGUUUGCUGGUGUGGAGAAAGACAUAACAGGGAAUAUCCUGCUGCUCUGCAGAUCCAGAUGCCAGGACAUGACCUCGUCAGAAGAAAAACUUUCCAGGCAACGGUGGCUCUUCCCCUGGCGCCAGCACCAGCCGGCUGCCUCAGGCAACACCAGGAGAUGCCUCUGAAGACCUGCUGUGCACCAUCUGCCUGGACACAGUGGACAACGCCGCCUACGUCGCCUUCUGCAUGCACAGGUUCUGCUUUGGCUGUAUCCGGCAGUGGUCAGCCACCAGAGCCCAGUGCCCGCUCUGCCAGCGGCCCUUCAGCUCCAUCCUCCGUGUGAUGUGAGCUGACAACUUCCAGGAGGACUGCACCAGGCCCUCUGAGAGCAGCUCAUCCAAUGGCCAUCGAGGAGGGAGACUCUCCUUUCCUGCAGCGUUUGUCAGCGCCGCAGCACAGCAGCACCUCCAGCAGUGACAUGGCCACGCCGGGUCCCCCAAGAGGGCCUGAAGCAGGUCCCUGAGGCUCAACAGUGAUGGCCACAGCCGGCUUCAGCACGUAGCGAGGCGCUAUGACUCCCCAGGGAGGAGCAGGCAGCAAUGGAGUGGGGCUCAGGCCACUGCUCCUGCCGGCCCUUGGGAAAGAUCCCGAGCCGGGGGCCGAUUGAAGCGUAGGUCGCACAGCACUGAUGGCAGCAGGAGACGGGAAGCAGCUUCUGCAGGCUGGCACCAGCAUGCCUCCCCGUCGUGGGGCCACCAGGCCCCUGGGCAGGAGGAUGCUCCCGGGCCCUCCUACGCCAGCUCUGCUUGGGCUCCUGCGCCAGCAGCUUCUCGCGGGGAAACCUCAGCGAGCUCUGCCCAGGAGCUGGCCAGCUCUGCCCCUGCAGCGCACAGCCUGCCCCUGGCGCGCGGCCAAACACAGCAGGAGCAGCGAAGGGGCCGCAGCAGCAGAAGGCAGCGCGGAAGACACGCGGAGCCUUCGCCUGCCCGGGAGAGCCAUCGCAGCAGGUCCCCCAGGCGAGGCGAUGAGCUCUGCCAGGGAGUCAUAGGGACAGCAGCCCAGGAGUCCUCAGCUUGGCGGAGGAGGUAGAGCAGGAACAAGGCUCACAAUGACAGGCUUAAUUUUGUUGCCAGUUUGAUGGCCUUUGCUUACUGGAUCAAAUGCUAUUUAUUUAAUGAGAUUAUUGCUGUGCUGCCAACAUACUUGUUUUUGCAUCAGAAAUCCUGAUAGGCCACCAACUUCAGCUAUGCUUACAGUUGUAGCUGUGCUUGAAACUUUUGGGUGAAUGACUCUGGGAAACUGCUGGUGAAUCAAACUUACUCUGAGAGAAGAUGAAGCCAGACUCUUCUCAGUGAUAUCCAGUGACAGGACAAGAGGCAAUGGGCACUACUUUCAGUUCUCCUAGGUUGUAGAUGGGCUGCUAGAAGGUGCAGUGGGAACCAUCCCAGAGCACCUGGGCUCCACGCUGGCCUGAGCACAAAUGAAGUAAAAGCCACGGUCUCCAGAGAGCUGGCUAGCUGAAAGUGGGGCAUGGAGCAUAACAGGAGGAGGAGAGCAUCUGAAAUGGGGAGGCAGGAAUCAUCGGCCAUGAAGUCUUCAGUGCCUGUAGUGAACAGUGAGAUUCAUUCCCUGGAGCUUGCCAAACUUGCAGCAGACCCAAGUCGCUACCGGAGUCACCGAGCUGCUGGUGCUUUCAAGCAGCACCCAUGUGCAGAGUGACAGCAAUGGGAGACUGUGCGCUGCGAAGCUGGGAGUGGAAAUCACCGCUGCAGGCAGAGAGGAGCGUGACUCAGCCAAUCUAGCACGCUCAGGCUUGCCUCCGCGCUACAGCUUUUCAGCAAGGCCCAGGGACUGCUUCUGCAGUCUGAUUAGCUGGGAAGCUGCCAGUCGCUGUGCCAUCCCCUCCUCUCUGCAGUCAGCUCGCAGGCAGCUCAGCCCUCUUCACUCAUCACCUGCAUCUCAAGUGAUAAAAUGACCUGCUGGAGGGGGGUGCACAGCUGAGUUCCCUGUGACGGGCACAGAGCAGAGGAGCAGGCGAUGCAGGAGGAGGACACUGCAG
Dromaius novaehollandiae (emu) is the source of this 3889-nucleotide long non-coding RNA. RefSeq lists it as uncharacterized. The record is from RefSeq and is a predicted model, not a curated record. The transcript has 9 exons. NCBI's taxonomy places the organism in Eukaryota, Metazoa, Chordata, Aves, Casuariiformes, Dromaiidae.